RNAcentral lists this ribosomal RNA (497 nucleotides) under uncultured bacterium. RNAcentral's name for it is "partial 16S ribosomal RNA". It matches the Rfam family "Bacterial small subunit ribosomal RNA", at positions 28 to 507 of the family's 1533-position model. The record is from RNAcentral.
GAUGAACGCUGGCGGCGUGCCUAAUACAUGCAAGUCGAGCGAACAGACGAGGAGCUUGCUCCUUCGACGUUAGCGGCGGACGGGUGAGUAACACGUAGGUAACCUACCUAUAAGACUGGGAUAACUUCGGGAAACCGGAGCUAAUACCGAAUAAUAUUUCGAACCGCAUGGUUCGAUAGUGAAAGAUGGCUUUGCUAUCACUUAUAGAUGGACCUGCGCCGUACUAGCUAGUUGGUAAGGUAACGGCUUACCAAGGCAACGAUACGUAGCCGACCUGAGAGGGUGAUCGGCCACACUGGAACUGAGACACGGUCCAGACUCCUACGGGAGGCAGCAGUAGGGAAUCUUCCGCAAUGGGCGAAAGCCUGACGGAGCAACGCCGCGUGAGUGAUGAAGGUCUUCGGAUCGUAAAACUCUGUUAUUAGGGAAGAACAAACGUGUAAGUAACUGUGCACGUCUUGACGGUACCUAAUCAGAAAGCCACGGCUAACUACGUG